UCUAACAUGGGAUACAUGGAUUUAUUUACAGUUCAAUUGACAAAUAAUGACAUGGAUCAUCGAGGGAUGGUCUCAUUUAUUUAGGUAUCAACCUCAAACAAGAGGACAUGUAGGGAGAUCAGUACACAUUACGAUCGUUAGCAUUCCGAUCACUAAUAGGUUAGGAAAAGCGGCAGAUACUUCAAAUGCUUUGAUCCGGCUAAUCCGUAUUGUUGACAGUACCCUUUGUGAAGGAUCAUGUCGAGCUAACGAUUGUGGAUUCAGAAUCUAUUGUCAUCACAUUGAACACUUUGAAAUGAGGCUUUAGCUAUCACAGGCUGGUGUAGUUCAGCAGCUGACUGUUUUCUGGUUAGUGCAUCGAUAUUUCGAAGUAUCAGAUAGAAAACUGUAUAUUGUAUCAUCGAGGAAGGAUCGGGUGAUCAAUGAUUUAAAUCAGAAUCAAUAAAAAAUCUUAGUGGAAAAAUGUUUGUACGGAUUUCGUGUCUAUCACGAUGUUGUUAAAUUGUUAGCGCCUUCAGCAUUUUUACAGAGAUGGCGCCAUUGUUUUACUGCUUCAAUUUCAAAACUCUUAAGAAUCUUGUCAUGGCACAUUCCUGAUUACUUGAAGUUAUUCAUAAUUUCAAUAUAAGUUGAGAUGCAUCUUCAGAUACUCAACUAGAACGUCUG
Molecule: long non-coding RNA, 666 nt
Organism: Nomia melanderi (Alkali bee)
Lineage: Eukaryota; Metazoa; Arthropoda; Insecta; Hymenoptera; Halictidae
Source: RefSeq, a predicted model, not a curated record